AGUAAAUAGAUACCCCGGUAGUCCACGCCGUAAACGAUGUCGACUUGGAGGUUGUGCCCUUGAGGCGUGGCUUCCGGAGCUAAACGCGUUAAAGUCGACCGCCUGGGGAGUACGGCCGCAAGGUUAAAACUCAAAUGAAUUGACGGGGCCCGCACAAGCGGUGGAGCAUGUGGUUUAAUUCGAUGCAACGCGAAGAACCUUACCUACUCUUGACAUCCAGAGAACUUUUCAGAGAUGGAUUGGUGCCUUCGGGAACUCUGAGACAGGUGCUGCAUGGCUGUCGUCAGCUCGUGUUGUGAAAUGUUGGGUUAAGUCCCGCAACGGGCGCAACCCUUAUCCUUUGUUGCCAGCGGUUAGGCCGGGAACUCAAAGGAGACUGCCAGUGAUAAACUGGAGGAAGGUGGGGAUGACGUCAAGUCAUCAUGGCCCUUACGAGUAGGGCUACACACGUGCUACAAUGGCGCAUACAAAGAGAAGCGACCUCGCGAGAGCAAGCGGACCUCAUAAAGUGCGUCGUAGUCCGGAUUGGAGUCUGC
Molecule: ribosomal RNA, 536 nt
Filed under: uncultured bacterium
Lineage: Bacteria
Description: bacterial SSU rRNA
Rfam family: Bacterial small subunit ribosomal RNA
Source: RNAcentral